CCCUACGGGGGGCAGCAGUGAGGAAUAUUGGUCAAUGGGCGAGAGCCUGAACCAGCCAAGUCGCGUGAGGGAGUACUGCCCUAUGGGUUGUAAACCUCUUUUGUCGGGGAGCAAAAGCCGGACGUGUCCGGCUGUGAGAGUACCCGAAGAAAAAGCAUCGGCUAACUCCGUGCCAGCAGCCGCGGUAAUACGGAGGAUGCGAGCGUUAUCCGGAUUUAUUGGGUUUAAAGGGUGCGUAGGCUGAAUGUCAAGUCAGCGGUAAAAAUUCCGGGCUCAACCCGGUCGUGCCGUUGAAACUGGCGUUU
RNAcentral lists this ribosomal RNA (305 nucleotides) under uncultured bacterium. RNAcentral's name for it is "bacterial SSU rRNA". It matches the Rfam family "Bacterial small subunit ribosomal RNA", at positions 337 to 641 of the family's 1533-position model. The record is from RNAcentral.